This 256-nucleotide ribosomal RNA is filed under the name uncultured bacterium. Its description in RNAcentral is "partial 16S ribosomal RNA". It matches the Rfam family "Bacterial small subunit ribosomal RNA", at positions 524 to 776 of the family's 1533-position model. The record is from RNAcentral.
UACAGAGGUCCCCAAGCGUUGUUCGGAUUCACUGGGCGUAAAGGGUGCGUAGGUGGCCAGGUAAGUUUGGUGUGAAAGCUCGGAGCUCAACUCCGAAAUGGCAUUGAAUACUAUCUGGCUGGAGGGUCGGAGGGGAGACUGGAAUUCUCGGUGUAGCAGUGAAAUGCGUAGAUAUCGAGAGGAACACCAGUGGCGAAGGCGAGUCUCUGGACGACACCUGACACUGAGGCACGAAAAGCUAGGGGGAGCAAACAGG